This 503-nucleotide ribosomal RNA is filed under the name uncultured bacterium. RNAcentral's name for it is "partial 16S ribosomal RNA". It matches the Rfam family "Bacterial small subunit ribosomal RNA", at positions 30 to 523 of the family's 1533-position model. The record is from RNAcentral.
AUUGAACGCUAGCGGCAGGCUUAACACAUGCAAGUCGAGCGGGGUGAUGGUGCUUGCACUAUCACUUAGCGGCGGACGGGUGAGUAAUGCUUAGGAAUCUGCCUAUUAGUGGGGGACAACAUCUCGAAAGGGAUGCUAAUACCGCAUACGUCCUACGGGAGAAAGCAGGGGAUCACUUGUGACCUUGCGCUAAUAGAUGAGCCUAAGUCGGAUUAGCUAGUUGGUGGGGUAAAGGCCUACCAAGGCGACGAUCUGUAGCGGGUCUGAGAGGAUGAUCCGCCAAACCGGGACUGAGACACGGCCCAGACUCCGACGGGAGGCAGCAGUGGGGAAUAUUGGACAAUGGGGGGAACCCUGAUCCAGCCAUGCCGCGUGUGUGAAGAAGGCCUUAUGGUUGUAAAGCACUUUAAGCGAGGAGGAGGCUCUUCUGGUUAAUACCCAAGAUGAGUGGACGUUACUCGCAGAAUAAGCACCGGCUAACUCUGUGCCAGCCGCCGCCGUAA